AUCACUUCUGAUCCUACAGUCUGCAGUCGCCACUUCAAGAAUGAUGACAACAUAUGGUUCUACACUAGUUUUGUGACUUACAACCAAUGGCCUUUUGGAGACUUAUUGAACCUACAUCCCACAACAUGGUUCAUGUGACCAGAGCAAGGACAACUAUAACGAGGAGUGAAUUUGGAAAACAAGCAAUGCAAUGGUACCCUGAGGACAAGAGCACAGCAUCUGCUCAGACACCAACAUCUGAAGACCUGGUGGAGGUCUACCUCUUCUAACUUUAGUACAUGACAUUUUUUGUUUCAUCUGGGAAGAAUCAGUAGAGGGGAAGAAA
Long non-coding RNA from Sinocyclocheilus anshuiensis, 325 nucleotides. RefSeq lists it as uncharacterized. The record is from RefSeq and is a predicted model, not a curated record. The transcript is spliced from 3 exons. NCBI's taxonomy places the organism in Eukaryota, Metazoa, Chordata, Actinopteri, Cypriniformes, Cyprinidae.